GGAGAGUUGGCAGAGUCCGGUUGAAUGCACCUGACUUGAAAUCAGACGUACGUGAAAACGUACCGGGGGUUCGAAUCCCUCACUCUCCG
This 89-nucleotide transfer RNA is filed under the name Reinekea blandensis MED297. It matches the Rfam family "tRNA". From Rfam's summary of the family: Transfer RNA (tRNA) molecules are approximately 80 nucleotides in length. Their secondary structure includes four short double-helical elements and three loops (D, anti-codon, and T loops). Further hydrogen bonds mediate the characteristic L-shaped molecular structure. tRNAs have two regions of fundamental functional importance: the anti-codon, which is responsible for specific mRNA codon recognition, and the 3' end, to which the tRNAs corresponding amino acid is attached (by aminoacyl-tRNA synthetases). tRNAs cope with the degeneracy of the genetic code in two manners: having more than one tRNA (with a specific anti-codon) for a particular amino acid; and 'wobble' base-pairing, i.e. permitting non-standard base-pairing at the 3rd anti-codon position. The record is from Rfam by way of RNAcentral. Lineage: Bacteria; Pseudomonadati; Pseudomonadota; Gammaproteobacteria; Oceanospirillales; Saccharospirillaceae.